RNAcentral lists this unclassified non-coding RNA (599 nucleotides) under Hevea brasiliensis (rubber tree). Lineage: Eukaryota; Viridiplantae; Streptophyta; Magnoliopsida; Malpighiales; Euphorbiaceae. The record is from RNAcentral.
AAUAAUGGCUUCUUCACAAGCCGCUCUUCUCCUCCAAAAACAGCUCAAAGACCUAAACCGUCAUCCCGUCGACGGCUUUUCUGCCGGUUUAGUCGACGAGAACAACGUUUUUGAAUGGAGUAUCUCAAUCAUCGGUCCACCGGAAACUUUAUUCGACGGCGGAUUUUUCAACGCUACAAUGAGUUUUCCGACGGAUUACCCUAACAAUCCACCGACGGUGAAAUUCACAACGGAGAUCUGGCAUCCGAAUGUUUAUUCUGACGGUAGGGUUUGUAUAUCGAUUCUUCAUCCACCAGGUGAUGAUCCGAAUCAUUAUGAGCUAGCGAGUGAGCGGUGGACGCCGGUUCAUACGGUGGAGAGCAUUAUGCUGAGUAUAAUUUCGAUGCUUACCAGUCCGAACGAUGAAUCGCCGGCGAAUGUUGAUGCGGCUAAGGAAUGGAGGGAUAAUAGGGCGGAAUUUGUGAAGAAGGUGAAGAGAUGCGUGAGGAAAUCACAAGAGAUGUUGUGAGCAAAAACUAAACUUUACUUAACUUGCAAGGAAUCGUUUUGUUUUAGGACUAUUUUACUCUCUUUUUUUGGUAUCUAAAUUAACAAAAUUG